AGCUGUUUAGUUUAUUAUUGAAUUUUC
This 27-nucleotide transfer RNA is filed under the name Contracaecum osculatum. RNAcentral describes it as "partial tRNA-His". Lineage: Eukaryota; Metazoa; Nematoda; Chromadorea; Rhabditida; Anisakidae. The record is from RNAcentral.